UACGUAGGGUGCGAGCGUUGUCCGGAAUUAUUGGGCGUAAAGCGCGCGUAGGCGGUUACUCAAGUCGGAUGUGAAAGCCCUCGGCUUAACUGAGGAAGUGCACCCGAAACUGAGUAGCUAGAGUACUAAAGAGGGUCGCGGAAUUCCCGGUGUAGAGGUGAAAUUCGUAGAUAUCGGGAGGAACACCGGUGGCGAAGGCGGCGACCUGGGUAGAUACUGACGCUGAGGCGCGAAAGCGUGGGGAGCGAACAGG
RNAcentral lists this ribosomal RNA (253 nucleotides) under uncultured bacterium. Its description in RNAcentral is "partial 16S ribosomal RNA". It matches the Rfam family "Bacterial small subunit ribosomal RNA", at positions 524 to 776 of the family's 1533-position model. The record is from RNAcentral.